CUUUGUAAACUCCACCUUCUUCCCUUUUCAUCAACAACUUCUGCUGCUGAUUCUAGAACAUCUCUAGCAAGAGGAAAAGGACCUUGUUCUCAACCUAAUUUACUCUCUGGUUCUGUCUAAGAAGGUUCAACUGCGUUCAGGCUUUUGUAUAAGUUGUGAUAUCGUCUCCUUUCCCUUCUGUGAAAUUGCUGUGGUUUAGAAAUGUUCUUUUGUCUGAGAAUUCACUUGUGAUUGUUAUCACUAAGAACUAGAAAGCUCUACUUUAGGAACGUCGGGCCUAAGUGGCACCCCACCAACUCAGUGGCUACCCGGAAGAUCGUUGCGGCAACGAUGGCUGGUAACCAGAACUACCCUACCCUGACGGUGGCUAUGGUCAUGUGAAUAGUAGAGUAAAUUUGCUUUGUGGCUCUUAAUCUUUUUAUGGUUUACAUUUGCAUAAGAAUUACAUUUAUAUAUUUCUGUUAGCUGGUGCUUUUGUUUUUUAUCUACGUUUAGCUCUCGCAUUACAUUUUCGGUGUUACACCCUCUACUGGGAAUUCGCUCACUCCUUUUGUUUUGUUUUCCCCCCUCAUAGUACAAAGAGAAGUUGCAGCAGUAAGCCGGGCAGAGCUUAUGGAAAGCUGUUAGCGCUUGAAAGUUAGUAUUUGGGAUAAUUGGAGUUUAGUACUCAGGUUUGGACCAACACUAACAUUUGUCCAACGUUAGUGCUUGGUACCUGGACUGGACGUUGACUCGCGUUGACUAGUUCAAACAGUGAUGAUUUCUUCUCGAAUUAACACAACCAUCUUCAUGGCAGUGACACCAACAGACAUCUGGUAAUAUUCAGUCACAACUCAUCCCUGUUAUCGAUUUGCAGCUGCAACGGAGAGUACGGGGAAGAAGAAGAAAAAGAAAACUGGAAAUAGAUAACAUGGGGUUCUAGGUUACUGAGAAUAAGCCCACUUCAAGGGUGUUUUUGGAGAAAUACACUUGUGUGGAAAAAGUUGCUCAAAAAGUGCUAUUUGGACUUCC
Long non-coding RNA from Papaver somniferum (opium poppy), 1011 nucleotides. RefSeq lists it as uncharacterized. The transcript is spliced from 4 exons. The record is from RefSeq and is a predicted model, not a curated record. NCBI's taxonomy places the organism in Eukaryota, Viridiplantae, Streptophyta, Magnoliopsida, Ranunculales, Papaveraceae.